CGUAGAGUAAAUAUUGUGCGUUAAGUGCAUUGGGAUGGGAUGUUGCCCAAUGACGAAAGAAAAUGAAUGUCAAGUAAUUUUAUGACACUUUCGGUUUCCUGCGAUACAAUAUUGCGUCCACUACU
Eubacterium brachy ATCC 33089 is the source of this 125-nucleotide regulatory RNA element. It matches the Rfam family "THF (Tetrahydrofolate) riboswitch aptamer". From Rfam's summary of the family: THF riboswitch presents a pseudoknot that joins P1-P2 and the loop of P3 and two THF binding. The record is from Rfam. NCBI's taxonomy places the organism in Bacteria, Bacillati, Bacillota, Clostridia, Peptostreptococcales, Anaerovoracaceae.